AGAGUUUGAUCAUGGCUCAGGAUAAACGCUGGCGGCGUGCAUAACACAUUCAAGUCGAACGGUGCGAGGUGAAGCUUGCUUCACCGAAGCAUAGUGGCGGACGGGUGAGUAACGCGUGAGCAACCUGCCUGUGUGAGGGGAAGUAACGUCCGGAACGGACGCUAUACCGCAUGAAGCACGGACACCGCAUGGUGACCGUGCCAAAGAUUUAUCGCACACAGAUGGG
Molecule: ribosomal RNA, 226 nt
Filed under: uncultured bacterium
Lineage: Bacteria
Description: partial 16S ribosomal RNA
Rfam family: Bacterial small subunit ribosomal RNA
Source: RNAcentral